GAAACACAACCUUUCCUCUUCGAGCUUUCUCUCUGUUCUACACAACUGAGAUUCAUUCCUGCAACUGAAUCUUCAUCUACGUUUCAGGCAAUUUCACAACAUCUAUGAAGGAGAUGAAGAUUCAGAUCAAUUUUUCUCCCCUUCUAUGGUUAGGUAUGCAAAUUUCCGUUUGAUUCGUGUCAUCUGAAAUUCUAGGGUUUUAUAAAUUUAGUAAAUUUAAGGUUUGAUUUGUUCUUCUCUUCUACAAUUAGGUACGAAUUUAUCGUGUAAUCGUACUGAUUCACUCUUAGGUUAGUUUUUUCCAUAGAUCAUAAGAAUCAAUACAUACCAAAUUGAUUUGAUUCUUUAUCAAUUUCAAUUAAGAGAAGCUUGAAUCAACAUAACCCUAACUAAGAAUGAUGAAUCAGAUCUUUAUGUUAAUUUCGCUUAAACAUCUCUUAUGUAUUUACGAUUUUGGUUACUGUAUGAAUUUUUUUGUAACUUUAAAAAAUUACAAUAAUGUCUAAGAUUGAAAAAGAAUCCAACAAGUUUUUCAAGGAGUUGUUAGAGAUGUUGCAUGAAGAAUCUUCAACUAUGAAAAGAGGAGAUAUAAAUCGUUUUCUUUAUCUUUUCCCAACUCUACUACCAGAAGUUGCAUAUUUUUCACAUUAAAAUGUUGUGUAUCACAUUGCAAAACGUCUCCAAGCAUACAUCUUACAGAGGAGAUAAGAGGUAACAUCUAUCUUUCAUGCUUAUAUUUCGCGCCGAUGCUUAUGAUGUUCAAUGGAUUCUCUGAAUUUCCUUUUCAUGAUAUCUCAACUUUCAAUUCCAAUAUUCUAUAAGCAGAAAAAUAAAUACCUUCAUCCUUCCUAGGUUGGCUUGCUAGGAUCUAUUCUGUGUUGGCUUUUGCGUGUACCUUACUUGCGUGCCUAUUGUUCAAAAGUUGUGAGCUUUAAACUCAGUGGUGAAGCAAGAACGAAAACAGGACGAGCAGAGGAAACUAGCAAGUACGGUAUUUAGGAUGAAGAUGGGAAACUAGAGAGGGUGCGGUGAUUUUUAAGUUGCCGAGGUUGGUUAGUGCGAAAGGGUAUGGUAGUACUCUUUUGAACUGAAAAACAGACCAAGCAUAUGUUUGUUUGCGUUUCUUCGGAUACAUGAUGCUUCUGGAACCUGCUAUUGUGUUGGUACAAUAGAUUGCAAGUGAGGCUGUUAUGGAAGAGCAAGGGUGGAUAAAUAACCAUUUUAACUCUUUGCAUGUUUUUUACUUGGGGAAUUCAGUUUUAACAUGUUUGUGGCGGUCAGAUUUAUAAAUAGUGGUGAGAUGAAGAAGCUCUCCUUCCUGUAUGUAAUGAGAACUAAUAAUACUAGGGAAUGAACGAUGAGUACCUAUAUAUGAAAUCUUGAUUGAUCAGAGAAUGAAGGCAGACAAACUUUACAGUAGUUUGAUAGCGGUUUUAUUGUUGUAAGAAGAUCAAUGGUCCAUAUUAUGCUUCUAAACUUUAUAGUAGAAUCCCCGUUCCAAACUUUUCCAAGAUCACCAAAUAAAAUAAAUUUGCUUCAGAUUUUUAUUUU
Molecule: long non-coding RNA, 1551 nt
Organism: Papaver somniferum (opium poppy)
Lineage: Eukaryota; Viridiplantae; Streptophyta; Magnoliopsida; Ranunculales; Papaveraceae
Exons: 2
Source: RefSeq, a predicted model, not a curated record